GAUGAAGAACGCAGCGAAAUGCGAUAAGUAGUGUGAAUUGCAGAAUUCAGUGAAUCAUCGAAUCUUUGAACGCACAUUGCGCCUUCUAGUAUUCUGGGAGGCAUGCCUGUUUGAGCGUCAUUAAACCUCUCUCAAGUAUGAUUACUUGGAUGUGAAGGAAGAGUACCUUAAACUUAAGGAGUAUUCUCCUUUGAAAUUGAUUAGCAGAUGGUAAUGUUAUUAAAUCCCUGAUGUUGUAAGAAAUAACAGUGGUUUUGUAGACUAUUAUCUAGCUUUAAAUUAUAAUUUUUAUUAUGGUUGACCUCAAAUCAGGUAAGGAUACCCGCUGAACUUAAGCAUAUCAAUAAGCGGAGGA
This 355-nucleotide unclassified non-coding RNA is filed under the name soil metagenome. RNAcentral's name for it is "partial contains 5.8S ribosomal RNA, internal transcribed spacer 2, and large subunit ribosomal RNA". The stretch from base 1 to 120 matches the Rfam family "5.8S ribosomal RNA", at positions 35 to 154 of the family's 154-position model. The record is from RNAcentral.